Molecule: ribosomal RNA, 2930 nt
Filed under: Escherichia coli
Lineage: Bacteria; Pseudomonadati; Pseudomonadota; Gammaproteobacteria; Enterobacterales; Enterobacteriaceae
Description: 23S ribosomal RNA
Rfam family: Bacterial large subunit ribosomal RNA
Source: RNAcentral
GGGUUGUGAGGUUAAGCGACUAAGCGUACACGGUGGAUGCCCUGGCAGUCAGAGGCGAUGAAGGACGUGCUAAUCUGCGAUAAGCGUCGGUAAGGUGAUAUGAACCGUUAUAACCGGCGAUUUCCGAAUGGGGAAACCCAGUGUGAUUCGUCACACUAUCAUUAACUGAAUCCAUAGGUUAAUGAGGCGAACCGGGGGAACUGAAACAUCUAAGUACCCCGAGGAAAAGAAAUCAACCGAGAUUCCCCCAGUAGCGGCGAGCGAACGGGGAGCAGCCCAGAGCCUGAAUCAGUGUGUGUGUUAGUGGAAGCGUCUGGAAAGGCGUGCGAUACAGGGUGACAGCCCCGUACACAAAAAUGCACAUGCUGUGAGCUCGAUGAGUAGGGCGGGACACGUGGUAUCCUGUCUGAAUAUGGGGGGACCAUCCUCCAAGGCUAAAUACUCCUGACUGACCGAUAGUGAACCAGUACCGUGAGGGAAAGGCGAAAAGAACCCCGGCGAGGGGAGUGAAAAAGAACCUGAAACCGUGUACGUACAAGCAGUGGGAGCACGCUUAGGCGUGUGACUGCGUACCUUUUGUAUAAUGGGUCAGCGACUUAUAUUCUGUAGCAAGGUUAACCGAAUAGGGGAGCCGAAGGGAAACCGAGUCUUAACUGGGCGUUAAGUUGCAGGGUAUAGACCCGAAACCCGGUGAUCUAGCCAUGGGCAGGUUGAAGGUUGGGUAACACUAACUGGAGGACCGAACCGACUAAUGUUGAAAAAUUAGCGGAUGACUUGUGGCUGGGGGUGAAAGGCCAAUCAAACCGGGAGAUAGCUGGUUCUCCCCGAAAGCUAUUUAGGUAGCGCCUCGUGAAUUCAUCUCCGGGGGUAGAGCACUGUUUCGGCAAGGGGGUCAUCCCGACUUACCAACCCGAUGCAAACUGCGAAUACCGGAGAAUGUUAUCACGGGAGACACACGGCGGGUGCUAACGUCCGUCGUGAAGAGGGAAACAACCCAGACCGCCAGCUAAGGUCCCAAAGUCAUGGUUAAGUGGGAAACGAUGUGGGAAGGCCCAGACAGCCAGGAUGUUGGCUUAGAAGCAGCCAUCAUUUAAAGAAAGCGUAAUAGCUCACUGGUCGAGUCGGCCUGCGCGGAAGAUGUAACGGGGCUAAACCAUGCACCGAAGCUGCGGCAGCGACGCUUAUGCGUUGUUGGGUAGGGGAGCGUUCUGUAAGCCUGCGAAGGUGUGCUGUGAGGCAUGCUGGAGGUAUCAGAAGUGCGAAUGCUGACAUAAGUAACGAUAAAGCGGGUGAAAAGCCCGCUCGCCGGAAGACCAAGGGUUCCUGUCCAACGUUAAUCGGGGCAGGGUGAGUCGACCCCUAAGGCGAGGCCGAAAGGCGUAGUCGAUGGGAAACAGGUUAAUAUUCCUGUACUUGGUGUUACUGCGAAGGGGGGACGGAGAAGGCUAUGUUGGCCGGGCGACGGUUGUCCCGGUUUAAGCGUGUAGGCUGGUUUUCCAGGCAAAUCCGGAAAAUCAAGGCUGAGGCGUGAUGACGAGGCACUACGGUGCUGAAGCAACAAAUGCCCUGCUUCCAGGAAAAGCCUCUAAGCAUCAGGUAACAUCAAAUCGUACCCCAAACCGACACAGGUGGUCAGGUAGAGAAUACCAAGGCGCUUGAGAGAACUCGGGUGAAGGAACUAGGCAAAAUGGUGCCGUAACUUCGGGAGAAGGCACGCUGAUAUGUAGGUGAAGUCCCUCGCGGAUGGAGCUGAAAUCAGUCGAAGAUACCAGCUGGCUGCAACUGUUUAUUAAAAACACAGCACUGUGCAAACACGAAAGUGGACGUAUACGGUGUGACGCCUGCCCGGUGCCGGAAGGUUAAUUGAUGGGGUUAGCGCAAGCGAAGCUCUUGAUCGAAGCCCCGGUAAACGGCGGCCGUAACUAUAACGGUCCUAAGGUAGCGAAAUUCCUUGUCGGGUAAGUUCCGACCUGCACGAAUGGCGUAAUGAUGGCCAGGCUGUCUCCACCCGAGACUCAGUGAAAUUGAACUCGCUGUGAAGAUGCAGUGUACCCGCGGCAAGACGGAAAGACCCCGUGAACCUUUACUAUAGCUUGACACUGAACAUUGAGCCUUGAUGUGUAGGAUAGGUGGGAGGCUUUGAAGUGUGGACGCCAGUCUGCAUGGAGCCGACCUUGAAAUACCACCCUUUAAUGUUUGAUGUUCUAACGUUGACCCGUAAUCCGGGUUGCGGACAGUGUCUGGUGGGUAGUUUGACUGGGGCGGUCUCCUCCUAAAGAGUAACGGAGGAGCACGAAGGUUGGCUAAUCCUGGUCGGACAUCAGGAGGUUAGUGCAAUGGCAUAAGCCAGCUUGACUGCGAGCGUGACGGCGCGAGCAGGUGCGAAAGCAGGUCAUAGUGAUCCGGUGGUUCUGAAUGGAAGGGCCAUCGCUCAACGGAUAAAAGGUACUCCGGGGAUAACAGGCUGAUACCGCCCAAGAGUUCAUAUCGACGGCGGUGUUUGGCACCUCGAUGUCGGCUCAUCACAUCCUGGGGCUGAAGUAGGUCCCAAGGGUAUGGCUGUUCGCCAUUUAAAGUGGUACGCGAGCUGGGUUUAGAACGUCGUGAGACAGUUCGGUCCCUAUCUGCCGUGGGCGCUGGAGAACUGAGGGGGGCUGCUCCUAGUACGAGAGGACCGGAGUGGACGCAUCACUGGUGUUCGGGUUGUCAUGCCAAUGGCACUGCCCGGUAGCUAAAUGCGGAAGAGAUAAGUGCUGAAAGCAUCUAAGCACGAAACUUGCCCCGAGAUGAGUUCUCCCUGACUCCUUGAGAGUCCUGAAGGAACGUUGAAGACGACGACGUUGAUAGGCCGGGUGUGUAAGCGCAGCGAUGCGUUGAGCUAACCGGUACUAAUGAACCGUGAGGCUUAACCUUACAACGCCGAAGCUGUU